GCCGAGCCCCAGCAAGUGAGGUAUCCAGCUCAAAUGGCCCAGCAACAACCCAACCCCAUUCCUCAGCAAUUUUGGCAUGUAGCCCAAAUUUCCCAGCAGCAACUGGCCCCAAAUUCUCAGCAGAAGCACUACGAAAGCACUGAAGAUGGUGCCUCUGGUAGUUCUCAGGCCAGCAUUGUUGAACAGUCGGGUGUCAUCCCAAUCUCUUCCUACAGUUUCAAAUCGCACUACAAGAAUGGCAGAACUGAGUCUCCCAAAUCAGCUACACUCCUAGGGAGGCAAUGCCUGUUGACAGUGGAAAUGCUCCCAAGGACGGUAAUGUUAGCAUUGGUGCACCAAGCAUAUAUCCAACACGAGUGAAGGAUUCUGCAAGGGAAAUAUAAUGGAUUCAUCCUCUAGAAGCUCUAAUGACCAGGAAGUUGCUGGUGUUCUUGCUACUCUAGUGUGAUGGAAUCAAUAAACAAUUUGACUUUAAAAAA
Molecule: long non-coding RNA, 479 nt
Organism: Oncorhynchus gorbuscha (pink salmon)
Lineage: Eukaryota; Metazoa; Chordata; Actinopteri; Salmoniformes; Salmonidae
Exons: 3
Source: RefSeq, a predicted model, not a curated record